CGGUAAUUUUAUUGAACUAUCAAAUUAAGAUUCGGCAAUUUUAAAAAUUGAUUUCUGCAACAUUUCACUAGUUUGUACAAGUUUUAAUUACUAGUAACCGUUGGGAGACGGGUUUGGCCAAUAAAACCACAGAGAGUGGGUGUAGUGCAUAGAGCUCCACUCGUUUUCGCUAAUCAAUAUUAUUUAAGGAUUAUGUACCCUUGUGUUGAUUCAAUGCUAAACAUAUGGAAAUUUUAUAGAAAAUCCACAGCCUUUAUCCUAGUACUCUCAUAUUUGGCAAUUUGAUGACUGAUAGGAAUAGGAUUAUUGCAUGCAGUGCUGGCAUUGAUUUCCUAAAAACAAGUUUAUUAAUGUAAUUAUUGGUUUCAACACAUAAAAAUAUGGACCAAAUCAAGUACACCUUUAAGGGUGCGCAUUUAGUGAUUCAGCACGAGGUAUUUUGGAAUUUUCAGGUUAGUUACAACAUUUUGUAGAAAAUGAACACUAGCACAUCAUAGAAAAGCAAGUGAGUUACCUAUGUUUCAAAUUUUAU
This 532-nucleotide long non-coding RNA is filed under the name Mytilus galloprovincialis (Mediterranean mussel). The record is from RNAcentral. Lineage: Eukaryota; Metazoa; Mollusca; Bivalvia; Mytilida; Mytilidae.